CUUUCAAAAACAUGGAAAUUACUAAGUGACCCCAAACUUUUGAAUGAUUUGGGAAUGGGUGUCGAUCGUCAGCACGUAGGAUGCUCCACUCGCAAAGUGUCCAUUAAUAUAAGUCAUUUGCAAACCCCGACACCGCUCCGUAUCACCCUCACCGUUAUCUCUUAUGCUGCUGUAUCCACUGUUCACUCAAUGAAGUCAAAUUUACCUCCA
Molecule: long non-coding RNA, 210 nt
Organism: Spea bombifrons (plains spadefoot toad)
Lineage: Eukaryota; Metazoa; Chordata; Amphibia; Anura; Pelobatidae
Exons: 2
Source: RefSeq, a predicted model, not a curated record